GGCUCAUUAGCUCAGUUGGUUAGAGCGUUGUGCAGGUUCGAUUCUUGCUUGGGCCA
RNAcentral lists this transfer RNA (56 nucleotides) under Glycine max (soybean). Its description in RNAcentral is "tRNA-Ser". It matches the Rfam family "tRNA". From Rfam's summary of the family: Transfer RNA (tRNA) molecules are approximately 80 nucleotides in length. RNAcentral also lists the same sequence under 1 other name. The record is from RNAcentral. Lineage: Eukaryota; Viridiplantae; Streptophyta; Magnoliopsida; Fabales; Fabaceae.